GAUGAACGCUGGCGGUGUGCCUAAUACAUGCAAGUCGUACGCAUUCUCGUUUCUGAUUGACGGUGCUUGCACCUAAUUGACGAGACAUUGGAAUGAGUGGCGGACGGGUGAGUAACACGUGGGUAACCUGCCCAGAAGUGGGGGAUAACAUUUGGAAACAGAUGCUAAUACCGCAUAAAAGUCAAAACCACAUGGUUUUGAUUUAAAAGAUGGCCUUUGUGCUAUCACUUAUGGAUGGACCCGCGGCGUAUUAGCUAGUUGGUAAGGUAACGGCUUACCAAGGCAAUGAUACGUAGCCGAACUGAGAGGUUGAUCGGCCACAAUGGGACUGAGACACGGCCCAUACUCCUACGUGAGGCAGCAGUAGGGAAUCUUCCACAAUGGGCGCAAGCCUGAUGGAGCAACACCGCGUGAGUGAAGAAGGGUUUCGGCUCGUAAAACUCUGUUGUUAAAGAAGAACGUAUCUAAGAGUAACUGCUUAGGUAGUGACGGUAUUUAACCAGAAAGCCACGGCUAACUACGUGCCAGCCGCCGCCGUAA
This 540-nucleotide ribosomal RNA is filed under the name uncultured bacterium. RNAcentral's name for it is "partial 16S ribosomal RNA". It matches the Rfam family "Bacterial small subunit ribosomal RNA", at positions 28 to 523 of the family's 1533-position model. The record is from RNAcentral.